CAAUAGCGUAUAUUAAAGUUGUUGCGGUAAAAAAGCUCGUAGUUGGAUUUCUGUUGAGAGCGACCGGUCCAUACCAUGUAUGCGUAUCUGGCUUGCUCUCGGCAUCCUCUCGAUAGACGUUACUGCGCUUGAUUGCGUGGUGCGGAUCUCGGGACUUUUACUUUGAGGAAAUUAGAGUGUUCACGGCGGGCUUUCGCCAGAAUACAUUAGCAUGGAAUAAUACUAUAGGAUCUUGGUUCUAUUUUGUUGGUUUCUAGAAUUGAGAUAAUGAUUAAUAGGGACAAUUGGGGGCAUUCGUAUCAACACGUCAGAGGUGGAAUUCUUGGAUUGUGUUGCGACGAACUACUGCGAAAGCAUUUGCCAAGGAUGUUUUCAUUGA
RNAcentral lists this ribosomal RNA (379 nucleotides) under uncultured eukaryote. RNAcentral describes it as "partial 18S ribosomal RNA". It matches the Rfam family "Eukaryotic small subunit ribosomal RNA", at positions 592 to 976 of the family's 1831-position model. The record is from RNAcentral.